RNAcentral lists this ribosomal RNA (476 nucleotides) under uncultured bacterium. Its description in RNAcentral is "partial 16S ribosomal RNA". It matches the Rfam family "Bacterial small subunit ribosomal RNA", at positions 28 to 523 of the family's 1533-position model. The record is from RNAcentral.
GAUGAACGCUGGCGGCGUGCUUAACACAUGCAAGUCGAGCGAGUGAGUUCUUCGGAACGAUCUAGCGGCGUACGGGUGAGUAACACGUGGGCAACCCGCCUCAUAGAGGGGAAUAGCCUCCCGAAAGGGCGAUUAAUACCGCAUAACCUCGUUGAACGGCAUCCUUCGAUGAUCAAAGGAGCCAUCCGCGAUGAGAUGGGUCUGGGGCGCAUUAGGUAGUUGGGGAGGUAACGGCUAACCAAGGCGACGAUGCGAAGCCGACCUGAGAGGGUGAUCGGCGACAUUGGGACUGAGACACGGCCCAGACUCCUACGGGAGGCAGCAGUGGGGAAUAUUGCACAAUGGGGGAAACCCUGAUGCAGCAACGCCGCGUGAGUGAUGACGGCCUUCGGGUUGUAAAGCUCUGUCUUUGGGGACGAUAAUGACGGUACCCAAGGAGGAAGUCACGGCUAACUACGUGCCAGCCGCCGCCGUAA